This is an RNA transcript of Corythoichthys intestinalis (scribbled pipefish), 3033 nucleotides long. It is a transcript of the gene named 5-hydroxytryptamine receptor 4, with no coding region annotated. NCBI's taxonomy places the organism in Eukaryota, Metazoa, Chordata, Actinopteri, Syngnathiformes, Syngnathidae. The transcript has 8 exons. The record is from RefSeq and is a predicted model, not a curated record.
CGCACGCACUUAGAGCCAAGCUGAAUCCACUUGCAUUUCUCCUGUCGACACUCACUCACUCACACUUCCCAAAUAUCCACGCGCGCCCAAGCUGAUCCAAGUGACUCAAUUUUCCGCGCGCCUCCCGGGUCUCACUCAGUGUGGAUCUCCGCGAUCGACGGACGAUGUAAUUUUGGGAAGCGGGUGGAUUUAACGCCGUGACAGGCUGGAAGCGCCGGAGACAUGGGCUUCUCUGCAUUUAUGGUCACAUGAGCAUCAGCCCUGCUGGCCACAUGCCGGUGAUGGAGGAGCUUGUCACUGACAGCAACAGCAUGCCAAAGCGGAUGGCCCUCAUCUGCUUCCUGUCUUUGGUCAUGGCGAUGAGCAUCCUGGGGAACCUGCUGGUCAUGGUGGCCGUCUGCAAGGACAGACAACUCAGGAAAAUUAAGACCAACUACUUCAUCGUGUCCCUGGCCUUCGCCGACCUGUUGGUUUCGCUGCUGGUGAUGCCGUUCGGCGCCAUCGAUCUGGUGCACCAGCAGUGGAUCUACGGCGAGACCUUCUGCCUGGUGCGCACCUCGCUGGACGUUCUGCUCACCACCGCCUCCAUCAUGCACCUGUGCUGCAUCGCCCUCGACAGGUACUACGCCAUCUGCUGCCAACCCCUGGUGUACCGCAACAAAAUGACGCCCAUGCGUGUGGCCAUGAUGAUUAGCGGCUGUUGGGUGAUCCCCACCUUUAUCUCCUUCCUGCCCAUCAUGCAAGGAUGGAACACCAUCGGCAUCGACCACGUUAUCGACGAGCGCCGCUACACGGAGGGCAGCAACUCGACGUCUUGCGUCUUCAUGGUGAACAAGCCGUACGCGGUGACGUGCUCGGUGGUGGCCUUCUACAUCCCGCUGGUGCUGAUGGUGCUGGCCUACCAGAGAAUCUACGUGACGGCGAGGGCGCACGCCCUCCAGAUCAGCGUGCUUCAGCGGGCGGGCGGCGCCUCGUCGUCGUCAGACACGGCUGACCAGCAACGCAACCACCGCAUGCGCACCGAGACCAAGGCGGCCAAGACGCUGUGCAUUAUCAUGGGCUGCUUCUGCCUGUGCUGGGCACCGUUCUUCGUCACCAACGUGGUGGACCCCUUCAUUGGCUACACGGCGCCCGAAAAGCUUUGGGCGGCAUGUUUGUGGCUGGGCUACAUCAACUCUAUGCUCAACCCCAUCCUGUACGCCUUCCUCAACAAGUCCUUCCGCCGUGCCUUCCUCAUCAUCCUGUGCUGCGGACGCAAGCGCUACCGCCGGCCCUCCGUGCUAGGCCCCGGCACGCCCUGUGCCGCCACGCGCAUCAACGGGUCCACGCACGUGCUCAACUGCUCCUCCGCCUCCAAACUGCUGCUCUGGUUGUGCAACACCAGGCCAGUGCCUGUCUAGCCGCUCUAAGCCUCACCUGCAGGCUCGCGCUCGCUCUCUCUCUCUCUCUCGCUCGCUGGCUCAAGUACUCGGUGCUUCACAAUGGGAACCACACCACACAGGAAAAGAAACCCCUGCAAGGACACGCAGAGUCCUGCUUAUGACACACCUCCACGGAGCCCGCAGAAGAACUGCAUAGCGGCGACCGGAAGAGAAGGACGGUCAUAAUGGCUGCCUAGCCAAACAGGUCAUGUUUGCAGUUCUGGUUCCUGCUCCAAUGUGACUGCGGUGCGGACCAAGUAGCACCAUUUGAGGGACCUUGCGGGUGUGAAGUUUCCAAAGCUGUCUUCGUUUCAAUAUGAUAUUUAAUUGAAUACAGCAUUUACGUCACCUCUUGCGUGUUUGGGCGCAAGUGCAGGUGUGUGAACCAACCAUUUCCAGGGGGGUGACUGAUGGUGUGCGUUCAUGUGUGUGAGGUGUGUCAGAAAAAAAUCCAGUUUUGGUGUCACAAAGGAUUAAUUUUAUUACUAGGACUGGGCUAAUGUAACUCAUUUUAAUUGUAAUUAAUCGCAUGAGAAUAACUCAUUUGCUUGUAUUGGCAGUUAUUGACACCCAAUCUGUUUCAACUGGGAUGGCUGGCAUUGAGUGAUCAUGUUUCGCUGCCAUUGACGGUGUUUUCCGAAAUUUCCAGGUUCGCGUUGAAUCAGUAACAGGCACACUUUUGCUCAAUAGAUGAUGUUUAUUGAUUAGAAAAUGCAGAAUAAAGGAGAUUUAUUGAUUACAAUCCCACAAGAGCAUGCACACAGAUAUCAAAAACAAGCAAACAAAUGGGAACGUGAUGCUAGAUUUGAGUUUGUCAAUCUCAGAAUCCCCACGUUACGUUACAGCACAACUAGUUGUCCCUUGGAAAUGAAAAUCGCUUACCGUGACAAACGAGUGGGAAGCCAACAACUCUCCAGUAAAGCGGCAAAGGGACAAAGCCAGGCGAUCCGUACGUGACCCGCUGGCGGACAUCACGGGUCGCCUGGAAAUGUUCGGUUUUUGUAGGGGCGCGCCCCGCGGAGCUGGAGAGACCAACCUCUGUCCCCGAGCGGUGCGGCCCUGACCAAUGACAAACAUCAAAGUUACUUUUGGUUCAGCCCCCUUGAAAAAUGGCUUUUCACAUGGGACAAAUGAGCUGUGCUGCAACAGAUGCAACAAAUGGUAAAUAUUAUGGGUGCAAAAGAAGUUAUCUCUAUAGGACCCAGGCGUGUAGUAAAACAAUACUAUGGUGCAAAACAAGUUAUCUCAUGAGAUUCUCAAGCGCGUCUCCUAACUAUGGGAACAAGGUGAAAAACAAUAGAAUUUGUUACAAUCUAUGUCACAGAAGCAAUCAUACAUCACAAAAGCAUGAUGGAAUAUUUUCCCCCAUCAGACGGCAAUAGACGUCCAAUUCAGUUUGAUCUCCCUAGUCAUCUAUCGCCGUCAAUGGCAGCCAAGGACUUCACAGUGAUGCUCAUAUACGGCACAAACAACAUGGUGAGAGGGCAAGAACUGCUAUGGUACAUUUGCUGCAGACAUUAGCUCGUCCAUUUAACUCUCUCUUCGUAAUGAGUUCGCGGCGACAUGAUUACGUAAGCAGAAAAUGCUGAAACUAGGGCUGUCAAACGAUGAC